This 498-nucleotide unclassified non-coding RNA is filed under the name uncultured Paraglomus. RNAcentral's name for it is "SSU rRNA". It matches the Rfam family "Eukaryotic small subunit ribosomal RNA", at positions 591 to 1092 of the family's 1831-position model. The record is from RNAcentral. Lineage: Eukaryota; Fungi; Glomeromycota; Glomeromycetes; Paraglomerales; Paraglomeraceae.
CCAAUAGCGUAUAUUAAAGUUGUUGCAGUUAAAAAGCUCGUAGUUGAAUUUCAGGCCUGGCUGGACGGUCCGCCCUUCGGGUGAGUACUGUCUGUGGUCGGGUCCUACCUUCUGGCGAAGCGUCAUGGCCUUAACCGGCCGUGGCGGGGAACCAGGACUUUUACUGUGAAAAAAUUAGAGUGUUCAAAGCAGGCAAAUCGCUUGGAUACAUUAGCAUGGAAUAAUGGAAUAGGACAAUGGUUCUUUUUGUUGGUUUCUAGGACCGUUGUAAUGAUUAAUAGGGAUAGUUGGGGGCAUUAGUAUUCAAUUGUCAGAGGUGAAAUUCUUGGAUUUAUUGAAGACUAACUACUGCGAAAGCAUUUGCCAAGGAUGUUUUCAUUAAUCAAGAACGAAAGUUAGGGGAUCGAAGACGAUCAGAUACCGUCGUAGUCUUAACCAUAAACUAUGCCGACUAGGAAUCGGGCGAUGUUGAAAAAAUGACGCGCUCGGCACCUCAUG